ACGGGAGGCAGCAGUGGGGAAUAUUGGGCAAUGGGCGAAAGCCUGACCCAGCGACGCCGCGUGAAGGAAGAAGGCCCUCGGGUUGUAAACUUCAGUCAACAGGGAAGAAACAAAUGACGGUACCUGUGGAGGAAGCCACGGCUAACUACGUGCCAGCAGCCGCGGUAAUACGUAGGUGGCAAGCGUUAUCCGGAUUUACUGGGUGUAAAGGGUGUGUAGGCGGGUUUGCAAGUCAGAUGUGAAAAUUAUGGGCUUAACUCAUAAACUGCAUUUGAAACUGUAUCUCUUGAGUGCUGGAGAGGUAGACGGAAUUCCUAGUGUAGCGGUGAAAUGCGUAGAUAUUAGGAAGAACACCAGUGGCGAAGGCGGUCUACUGGACAGUAACUGACGCUGAGGCGCGAAAGCGUGGGGAGCAAACAGGAUUAGAUACCCUGGUA
Molecule: ribosomal RNA, 437 nt
Rfam family: Bacterial small subunit ribosomal RNA